This 84-nucleotide transfer RNA is filed under the name Danio rerio (zebrafish). RNAcentral describes it as "tRNA-Leu (CAA) (tRNA-Leu-CAA-8 1 to 8)". It matches the Rfam family "tRNA". Rfam says of the family: Transfer RNA (tRNA) molecules are approximately 80 nucleotides in length. Lineage: Eukaryota; Metazoa; Chordata; Actinopteri; Cypriniformes; Danionidae. The record is from RNAcentral.
GUCAGAAUGGCCGAGUGGUCUAAGGCGCCAGACUCAAGUUCUGGUCUCCUGAUGGAGGCGUGGGUUCAAAUCCCACUUCUGACA